GGGGAAUAUUGGACAAUGGGCGCAAGCCUGAUCCAGCCAUGCCGCGUGUGUGAAGAAGGCCUUAUGGUUGUAAAGCACUUUAAGCGAGGAGGAGGCUACUUUAGUUAAUACCUAGAGAUAGUGGACGUUACUCGCAGAAUAAGCACCGGCUAACUCUGUGCCAGCAGCCGCGGUAAUACAGAGGGUGCAAGCGUUAAUCGGAUUUACUGGGCGUAAAGCGCGCGUAGGCGGCUAAUUAAGUCAAAUGUGAAAUCCCCGAGCUUAACUUGGGAAUUGCAUUCGAUACUGGUUAGCUAGAGUGUGGGAGAGGAUGGUAGAAUUCCAGGUGUAGCGGUGAAAUGCGUAGAGAUCUGGAGGAAUACCGAUGGCGAAGGCAGCCAUCUGGCCUAACACUGACGCUGAGGUGCGAAAGCAUGGGGAGCAAAC
RNAcentral lists this ribosomal RNA (426 nucleotides) under uncultured bacterium. RNAcentral describes it as "bacterial SSU rRNA". It matches the Rfam family "Bacterial small subunit ribosomal RNA", at positions 356 to 773 of the family's 1533-position model. The record is from RNAcentral.